RNAcentral lists this long non-coding RNA (1144 nucleotides) under Equus asinus (donkey). RNAcentral describes it as "lncRNA (ENSEASG00005034061.1)". Lineage: Eukaryota; Metazoa; Chordata; Mammalia; Perissodactyla; Equidae. The record is from RNAcentral.
CUAAAUAUCUGUAGUAGGCUAAGGAAUGUGUUCUUAAAAGAGAAUUUGUGAAGGAUCUAUUUUGCUUACUCAAGGAUCUCAUUUGCUGGGACACUUGUGUAGUGAAAGCAAAAGAACCAGGUGUAAGUGGAAAAACCCUUAGUCACUAAGGGUUGUUUGGGCUUCUCAGUGCUGAAAUUCAGGGGUGGCUGGUUUCCUCUGCCACGACGGAUCCUGGCCUGAUUUGCCUGGCUGUUUUGACAUUUUGUAGACCCAACAUAUAGAAGGACACCCGAGGGGAGUUUCGUACUCAAGUGGUCGCUAUUCUCCUCACACGUACCUUGGAGCGUCUUCGCAAGGUGUGAGGUUGGGAAGGCUGGGACACAUUCAUGGGGAUGUAGGAAAAAGCAGUGUGUCGGGAGUGCUUUUAGUUUCCAAUAGGGAGAGUCACUUUAAAGCUUUAUUUGUCUCUCAUGCCUCAGCUAACCCCAAGAGAAAAGCUUAGCUCAGGACAGGAAGCUCAGAGCGCCCAAAAGGAUGACAACACAACUCAGGGCUAUUUAUGUCUGCCUCUUACAUGUCCCUCUGUGCCAUUACCCCAAGGCUGAGGUGUGCUGGCGCUGUAGGGAUCCUGACUAUACCAUCAUUCCCUCGGAAACCAACAGGCCGACAUGCUGCACAGGCCAGGCCCACUGCAACCCGACCCAUGAGACCCAUGCUUUUCCCAGGCUACCUCCCUGCCCCUGGAGUUACAGAUGUCAGGAGCAAUGGAGCACCAGUGUUAGGAGAACCUACCUCCCCUGGCUCCAUCAAAGCCACAGACCCAUGAGAACCAUCCAGCCUAGCCUGAGCCACACGCCCGGAGGCCACAGCCUGUGUGCAGGAAAGUGAGAGGAAGUGGAAACGUGUGAGCAGAGGGCUCAAAGCAACGGGCUCACCACCGGAAAAAAAAAUAAAAAUAAACACGCUCAGAAAUAGUGUAACUGAUAUGCAAAGAAGAUCAAAACAAGGGUUUUAAAAUAUCUUGGCUGCUUUAGAGGGGGUAGGGAUGGUAAAUGAAGCGAGGUUGCAAAUGUAUGUUAGGGGAGGGGGGCGGUUAAGGAUGAUUGACAGCAGCCUGCCAGGCCAUGGAAGCCUGGAACCCAAGGGUACUUCAGACAAAAAU